Molecule: small RNA, 3326 nt
Filed under: Histoplasma capsulatum G186AR
Lineage: Eukaryota; Fungi; Ascomycota; Eurotiomycetes; Onygenales; Ajellomycetaceae
Description: hypothetical RNA
Source: RNAcentral
UUGAGCCUGUCCAUGCCACUCGGUUUAAACUACCCUAUUUAUCCAGCUAAACUGGGAAAGCCAGUUUUAAAACCUAGACAUAGGGUUUUUCAUGGGGAGGAACGAACCGCACGCCGAACAAUGAUGGAGCUGGGUGCUUGCUAGGGCAGUUAAUUUUAGAUGGACGACUGACUGACUGUCCCCCCCAGUUUUCCCACGUGGGGAUAGCGGCUUACUUCCACAACCCGUCUGUUCAGGGCAAGCCAGCCUGCCCCGGCCGGUCUAGCCCCAUGAUUUCCGCCUGGCGCCCCCAAAAGAUAGGGGAUGGAUAAAGAGGGCAAUGCCUUGAGAGCCCGAAAAAUCAUAUGGCACAUGAAUACUGAAUAACCAGUGGAUAUGGAUAUGAUCCACGGGAAUGGGACGAUGAUGAUGAUAUGCACACGCAAUGUAUGGAUGCAAUGUACGGUACUAUGUGUUGUACGGUCCAGCACAUUCAUCAUGACAUUGAUGAAACCACACACACACGCGGGGGAAAAGAGAGAAAGAGAGAAAGAAGGUUUAAUAACAAUGAAAAAAAAAAAAAAAAAAAAAAAAAAAGACGCACACUGGAGCCCACUCAUCCAUCCGCCCAGGAUCCCAGGCAAGGCGCAAUUUAAAUCCCUCAUACAAGAAGAGACGUUAAAACGGCUCUGAUAAUAUCCAAUCUUAAUAUCACCUGUGCGAGGUUUCCUGGGAGAAAAAGCGGCUCCACACGUCUCUCUCCGCAUUUUGCUUUUGCAGAGAAGAGUAGAUAAAACUGCUGUUGAGGUAUGUACGGUAUGUACGGUUCGUACGGUAUGUAUGUAACGGCGGGGUGGUGUGUGCAUCUCCCACAGGAACCGAGUCAAGUCGCCAAUUGCACGCCGUUGAGCAUAUCCAUGGAUCAGACAGAAUACUGAUAAGAAGCAGAAGCAGGAGAAAAGAGGCAUCUGUAUCGCCCGCCUUUUUCUGCCCGAUUGAACACGCAGUGAGACGGGUAAUUGGGCAGGUCACGCAGAUCAAAAUGAAGAAAAAUACCCGCCCCUUGCCAGCUAUAUGAUUACACCAUGCAUUUGUUAUCCGUAUGAAAUCAGAAACAACAAUAAUAAGCAUUCAAGCAUCACUUAGUUCUCCCUUCAGCUCAAUGUCAAAAAAAAAAAAAAAAAAAAAAAAAGUAAGAAAAAAGAAAAAAACCACCCUGGUCCCUGGGUUUAUUUUUAGCCAUCCGCUGCGCAACUCGUCGUAACCAUGUCUCAUAUUUCAGCGGCCGAUGUUGGCAGGUUUCAACGCUCGAGCUAGGCGGCUGCGGACCUCUCCGUCUUGUAAGAUAAAAAAACAAAAAUAAACAACACCUCAAUCGACGUCCAGUGUUGGUUGUGCAAGUGAACAUUUUCCCCCAAACCCUUUUUUGAGGAUUUAUUUUAUUUAUUAUUUAUUAUUUUAAUCUGUUAGGCCUGGAGGCGGGUCUACGAAACUGAACAUGUUCAUCGAUGCGAUCUUAAUUAAAAUUCAAGGCUUUCAACGGGUGGACGGGUUUUGGUUGUUUGUUAUCAGCCAGGUUUCAUUGGCUGGCGGCCGUUUUAUUUUAUCUGAUUGGGCACUUGGAAGUAGACGUUGAUUUAUGCUGGCCCGUUUUUGCUUGCUGAUUGGCAAAAAGCUGGAGGUUUAUCUAUCAAGGUUUUGGUUUUGGUUUUGUUCUUUGCAAAAGGUUUGGUUGGUGAAACUUGAUGUUGUUGAAUGAUGAAUGAUUGAAGUUGGUUUUCAUGCUGCUGCCAAUUGUUUGGCAUCUUAAAAAUAAAGAUCCAUGGAAAUUUGAUGGCGUGUAUAGACAAAGAGAUUGCUGGCAAGUUAGAAAUAUGGAUGCGAUGCAAGAGAGAACGGGGGAACGAUAUAUGUCCCAGCGUGGUCGAAAUUGGAGAAUUGAUAACUGCAUAGAUAGAUAGAUCUUAUAGCUGUGUGAGCGCCGUUGCGAGUAGAUUAUAUACAUGCAAAAAUAUCUUGUCUCAAUACAUUAUCUUCGGCUUUCCGAAGGCAACGGCCGUUUUUCACCCCACAUGGCAAUUCGUCGCAAUCAAUCCAUCAUCGAUUCGCCACCAGUUCCACCGGAAAAAGACCGACCCCAGCAGUGCGUCCCACUCAGAUAGGGAGGGGAUUUCUGUUUUCAGCAAAACGCUGUGUGCGAAUUUGUUUUAAGCUUCAUAUUGGUGGAGGCAAAUUCUACUUUGGGAUUGGAGAUGGUAGGAGUUGCGGCGCGAACUCGUGGGUGGGGAUCCUACAGCAGCAGUUGUUGAGCCUAGAAUGAGGUGGAGUAUUGAAAGACGUAUUUAUCAUUUUUCGACACGGCCUUCUAUCUAGAUCGCAUAUGCACAGACACAGUAGGUUAUUAGCCUGACUGUAGUCCAUUUCAAUGUUUUGUGGGUAUGUGUGCAGAUUGAAAUUGAAAGUGUGAAUGUUUUCGCCCAUCUGGAAGGUGGUGACGUCGCCUGUGACACGGAUAGCAUAAUUAGCGGUCACUCCUUGUAUCGUUGCUUGCUUGAAUCAGCGAUUGGUAUGGUCUUCAUGAUUCCGCAUCCAUUUCAAUACCCAUUCGACCAGGAUGCCAAAAUCCUCAGAUAUCUGCAGCACCCUGGCGAGGCUUUGGUGGAGGUGCGGCGAUUCUGUUCUGGAUAUAUCGUUCAAGGGUCCUUCUGUGCUGUCGCUUACGUCAUCCCACAUUCCACCAACCCGUGAGACCGUGAUGUUACCAUUGAGUCCGAUAUCUAUAUUGAUUGUUAUCGUCGUCGGGUUUUCCAUGGACGCAUUUGGCCCUCUCUUAGGCGCGUUGAAUAAUAGCAUUAAGGAUGGUGGCCCUAAUAUCGGAGUUCGUAAAGAUAUGUCUAUUUUCCGGUCAUCAGUUGCCGGCGCAGGGGGAAAAGGCGCGUUAACAUGAGAAUCAAUGCCGUUGCUUCUCUCGAUAACAUGCUUGGAAUCGUCACGCGAAAGCAUAGCGUUCAGUUUGGAUACUGUAGGGCUGAUAUUGGUUAUAAACGUGACGUCAGACUUGGACGUCUGGUUUGGCGAGGCUGAGAUCACCGAGUGGGCUGAGGGAGAUUUGCUCGACCUGACAGUUUGGUUGUUUUGGCCAACAAAUACUCUGUGAAGGAGGCUAGACAAUAGUGCGUACUGGCGUAGGAUCUACGCACAAUGGUAAGUAGCUGAUCAUGAAGCAAUGGGAAUUUGAAAGUAAAAAAGUAAUAGGGGUGAAUGUCUAUGGACUCACAGGAAGAACAUCAGCCAACUGCCGAGGGUGAGAAAACGGAAGAUCACGUAUGGUGCGUCCGACAAUAUGC